Carassius auratus (goldfish) is the source of this 1145-nucleotide long non-coding RNA. RefSeq lists it as uncharacterized. The transcript has 3 exons. The record is from RefSeq and is a predicted model, not a curated record. NCBI's taxonomy places the organism in Eukaryota, Metazoa, Chordata, Actinopteri, Cypriniformes, Cyprinidae.
GAGCUGAUUCAGGAAGCUACGCAGUGUCUCUUCUUCCUCCAGGUGAAAGAGGGGAUCUUGAACGAUGAUAUCUACUGUCCACCUGAGACAGCCGUUCUCCUGGCCUCAUACGCUGUGCAGAUGAAAUACGGUGAAUACAACAAAGAAUAUCACGUGCCUGGAUAUUUGUGCAAAGACAAACUGCUGCCACAAAGAGUUCUAGAGCAACACAAACUGUCUAAAGAGCAGUGGGAAGAACGAAUCCAGGGGUUGCAUAAGCAACACAAAGGCCUGCUCAGGUAGAACAAUCACAACUUCUGAACCUAAAACUAACUGUUAGCGUGCAUGGUCAGUAAAGCUUUAUCUCCACGUAGAGGAUGCUAUGAUAGAACACUUGAAGAUUUCCCAGGAUCUGGAGAUGUAUGGAGUGAACUAUUUCAGCAUCAAAAACAAAAAAGGAUCCGAUUUGCGGUUGGGUGUUGAUGCUUUGGGACUCAACAUUUAUGAACGUUCAGACAACCUGACACCUAAGAUCGGAUUCCCUUGGAGUGAAAUAUGGAAUAUUUCUUUCAACGACAAUAAAUUUGUCAUUAAGCCUAUAGACAAAACGGUCACCGUUAAUUGAAAAUCAUAACUUUAACCAUCAAUUUAUUGAUUUGUUCACAGUCUUUCACCUGCUGAACUACAUGUCCUUUGCUCAUCCACAGGACUUUGUGUUCUAUGCACCUCGUCUGCGCAUUAACAAGCGUAUCCUGGCUCUGUGCAUGGGAAACCAUGACCUUUACAUGCGACGCCGCCAGCCAGACACCACUGAGGUGCAGCAGAUGAAAGCUCAGGCCAGAGAGGAGAAGAAUAAGAGACAACAAGAGAGGUGACAACAUUAAUAACAGAUGUAUCACACAGCACAGACAUAGCAUCCCUAAAGCUAUUUUUUAUGAUACCUGUGGUAAAAUAACUUUUGUGCAGACCCACUAAUGCAGACUCAAUAAUUGUGUAUCUUUUAUGAAAGUGAAUCAUUAACACAAUAGCCCUGUUCUAAAACUUAGUGCGCUACUUAGCUAGACAGCUUUUUAAAGCAUUGUGGGAAUUCUCCUCAAAUCAAGGCUGUUUUCUUAAGUUGGGCAGUAACAUUAGGCUGCCUUUUAAAAAACAUAGUUUUGGCAAAA